RNAcentral lists this long non-coding RNA (1236 nucleotides) under Marmota monax (woodchuck). Lineage: Eukaryota; Metazoa; Chordata; Mammalia; Rodentia; Sciuridae. The record is from RNAcentral.
UCCUCUCAACCCUUCUUUGCUGAGAAAUACACCUCUGGUGAGUUUCUCUAAGUCAAAGAGUAUGGUCCCUUCCUUCUCUUCUCGACAGCGUUCUGCCACUUGUCAAGCGUAGGUCACAAACAGAACAUGGUCAAAAAAGACACUUCUUGAACUUCAAAGUGACCUCUAUCUUUCCAUCUUUUCUCUUUUGUUGAGGUAUCCAAAUGUUUCUUUCUGCCUCCUUGUCUAGGAGAUGCUCAGCACCUUGUAAAAAGAAAAUUCUACUUUUCACCUAGCUGUUACAUGGCCCCAACUAUUCCAAGGUAACACCUAGUUAAUUCACAUACUUCUGUGUAUAUUCCUCAGAGGUCCCUCUUUUCAGUUUUAAUGUGUUGGCUUAAAGAAAAGAGGUCUGGUUUCCCUUUUUAUAGCAGUUUAAGUCUCUCCCCAGUUGCCAAAUAGGUAUUUAUGGACCGACUCCCAGGUCCUCCAGGACCUUCCCAAAUCAACACAGCUUGGGGUCUCGUGCUCGGUGGAGAACCACGUGCCCAGUGUGCCCUGUUGGGGGUCACCAGCCUCCUGAACCCAGCCUGGCACAGAGCAGCACUGAUCUGGGUGAGCCUUCUAGACUUCUAGGCCAGUGGUUUUACCUGGAAGUUGCUGCCCUAACCUGUACUUUUCCAUUUGCACAGACUGGAGAAUAAAAUUUGGCUUUUGCAAUGAUAAUGGAAGGCCCUGGGGGAGAAGGAAAUUGGCAGGUAUUAACUAACAAUUGGAUGUUUUCAUUUUGCUUUGAUUUUCAUCGGUAUGCUAAAAGACUAACUGAAACAUGUUCAUGUCUUAUAUGGGAAAUAAUAAUUAUGGUAAUAAUAAUUGUUGUAAGUAUGAGCACUUUAUUGUUGAAGAGGGCAAGCUUAUGCAAUUAUCACAAAAAACUCGAAUGCUUUUCUAGGUCCUGUGGGAUUAAUUGGGGAUUUCAGUCCAGUUUCAAUUGGGGAAAUUUCCACAUCACAAAAUCCUUUGCUAUAAUGGACACUAAUUGGCCUCCUUUUUGACAGUCCCAGAAGAGAAAACCCUGUGCCCCAAAAUUGAGUGAUUUGGUAGAGUUGAGAGAAUAGAUAGGAAAUCAUGGGGUUACAACCCAAGAUUUGUUUUCUACUGGGGAUAAAGAGAGUAUAUCAGGCUGCAGGCUUUGAAGGUUACAGAUAACUCAGAAAUAGCACAAGGCCUUCGGUAUCACAAGGAAUUUAAAAUGUG